This 396-nucleotide ribosomal RNA is filed under the name uncultured bacterium. RNAcentral describes it as "bacterial SSU rRNA". It matches the Rfam family "Bacterial small subunit ribosomal RNA", at positions 505 to 898 of the family's 1533-position model. The record is from RNAcentral.
GUGUCAGCCGCCGCGGUAAUACGUAGGGUGCAAGCGUUGUCCGGAAUUAUUGGGCGUAAAGAGCUCGUAGGCGGUUCGUCGCGUCGGCUGUGAAAACCCGGAGCUCAACUCCGGGCCUGCAGUCGAUACGGGCGGACUUGAGUGUUGCAGGGGAGACUGGAAUUCCUGGUGUAGCGGUGAAAUGCGCAGAUAUCAGGAGGAACACCGGUGGCGAAGGCGGGUCUCUGGGCAACUACUGACGCUGAGGAGCGAAAGCGUGGGGAGCGAACAGGAUUAGAUACCCUGGUAGUCCACGCCGUAAACGUUGGGCGCUAGGUGUGGGGGCCAUUCCACGGUCUCCGUGCCGCAGCUAACGCAUUAAGCGCCCCGCCUGGGGAGUACGGCCGCAAGGCUAAA